UGCACGUUAUAACUCGGCUUCAUAACCGUUAUCAACAUAUGAUAUAACUCGUCAUUAUCCGAUUACUACUCGGAAUUUAUGAGCCAUAGCUCGGUGACAUCAAUACUCCUAUCAUAACCGACAUCCCAAACGGUAAAAUAAGGUCGGUUACAAUAUCAAUUAUUUGACGAUUAUUACCGAGAAUAUAACAGACGAGGAAUUCAUCAUAUAAAGGGAAGUAGAACAUUUCUUGAAAACCAAGUUUUUGAACAAGAAUAUACACUGACUUAAGCUUCAGAAUGCCUUUGUAGGUACACUCCACCUCCUUUUCAUUGCUCGCGCUUUCACACAACAACACAAAUAAAGAAGCUCGGAUUCAAAGAGUCGGACGUUCAGCCUCCCAGUACAUAGCUCGGCUGAUUCCAAGCAGUUGAAGCCGAUCUAUUUCCCAGGCAAGAUCAAAUAUCAUUUACAUCAUAUAUGAACAUCAUUUACAUCAUUCCACUCUCAUACAACUUCAUUCAUCAAAUUAAUCUAAUUACUUUAUAAAACUAACUUACUCACAUGAAAUGGAACAAUAAAGUUAUAAGUAUUAUGAAAUUAUGUGUCAGUUGUUGAAGUAGAAGUAAUGCGCUAUCAUGCUCUGCAACAUUCACAAUCCAAGAGGAAUUACCCUUCUUUAAAGAAUGGGAAUUGGAAUGGAAUAUAGCAGUGAACACUAAGGAACCAUCUUGAUUAUUAUUAUGCACUUCUUGCAGUGCUCAACUUGAAUACUUCGUCCAUAAACAAGAUCCGGCUUUGCUUAAGCAUAACCCGCCCC
Arachis ipaensis is the source of this 799-nucleotide non-coding RNA. Lineage: Eukaryota; Viridiplantae; Streptophyta; Magnoliopsida; Fabales; Fabaceae. The record is from RefSeq and is a predicted model, not a curated record.